Molecule: ribosomal RNA, 253 nt
Filed under: uncultured bacterium
Lineage: Bacteria
Description: partial 16S ribosomal RNA
Rfam family: Bacterial small subunit ribosomal RNA
Source: RNAcentral
UACAGAGGUCCCAAGCGUUGUUCGGAUUCACUGGGCGUAAAGGGUGCGUAGGUGGUCGGGUAAGUCUGAGGUGAAAUCUCCGAGCCCAACUCGGAAACUGCCUUGGAUACUAUUCGGCUAGAGGGUUGGAGGGGGGACUGGAAUUCUCGGUGUAGCAGUGAAAUGCGUAGAUAUCGAGAGGAACACCAGUGGCGAAGGCGAGUCCCUGGACAACUCCUGACACUGAGGCACGAAAGCUAGGGGAGCAAACAGG